CUCAUCUCCACAUAGCUAGGUUCUUGUCAGGAGAACACAGUGAACCUCACCGUGGUUGGUAACAGAUCCUUACUAUUAACCAGAUAUCCUCUUAAGAUCU
Molecule: long non-coding RNA, 100 nt
Organism: Neogale vison (American mink)
Lineage: Eukaryota; Metazoa; Chordata; Mammalia; Carnivora; Mustelidae
Exons: 3
Source: RefSeq, a predicted model, not a curated record